This 279-nucleotide ribosomal RNA is filed under the name uncultured bacterium. RNAcentral describes it as "partial 16S ribosomal RNA". It matches the Rfam family "Bacterial small subunit ribosomal RNA", at positions 506 to 784 of the family's 1533-position model. The record is from RNAcentral.
UGCCAGCCGCCGCGGUAAUACGGAGGAUCCAAGCGUUAUCCGGAUUCAUUGGGUUUAAAGGGUCCGUAGGCGGAUUUUUAAGUCAGUGGUGAAAGCCGACAGCUCAACUGUCGAACUGCCAUUGAUACUGGAAAUCUUGAGUACAAAUGAAGUAGGCGGAAUGAGUCAUGUAGCGGUGAAAUGCAUAGAUAUGACUCAGAACACCGAUUGCGAAGGCGGCUCACUGGCUCGAUACUGACGCUGAGGUACGAAAGUGUGGGGAGCAAACAGGAUUAGAUA